Molecule: ribosomal RNA, 1521 nt
Filed under: Chryseobacterium gallinarum
Lineage: Bacteria; Pseudomonadati; Bacteroidota; Flavobacteriia; Flavobacteriales; Weeksellaceae
Description: bacterial SSU rRNA
Rfam family: Bacterial small subunit ribosomal RNA
Source: RNAcentral
ACAAUGGAGAGUUUGAUCCUGGCUCAGGAUGAACGCUAGCGGGAGGCCUAACACAUGCAAGCCGAGCGGUAGAUUGCUUUCGGGCAAUUGAGAGCGGCGUACGGGUGCGGAACACGUGUGCAACCUGCCUUUAUCUGGGGGAUAGCCUUUCGAAAGGAAGAUUAAUACCCCAUAAUAUAAGAGACGGCAUCGUUUUUUAUUGAAAACUCCGGUGGAUAGAGAUGGGCACGCGCAAGAUUAGAUAGUUGGUGAGGUAACGGCUCACCAAGUCUACGAUCUUUAGGGGGCCUGAGAGGGUGAUCCCCCACACUGGUACUGAGACACGGACCAGACUCCUACGGGAGGCAGCAGUGAGGAAUAUUGGACAAUGGGUGAAAGCCUGAUCCAGCCAUCCCGCGUGAAGGACGACGGCCCUAUGGGUUGUAAACUUCUUUUGUAUAGGGAUAAACCUUUCCACGAGUGGAAAGCUGAAGGUACUAUACGAAUAAGCACCGGCUAACUCCGUGCCAGCAGCCGCGGUAAUACGGAGGGUGCAAGCGUUAUCCGGAUUUAUUGGGUUUAAAGGGUCCGUAGGCUGAUUUGUAAGUCAGUGGUGAAAUCUCACAGCUUAACUGUGAAACUGCCAUUGAUACUGCAAGUCUUGAGUGUUGUUGAAGUAGCUGGAAUAAGUAGUGUAGCGGUGAAAUGCAUAGAUAUUACUUAGAACACCAAUUGCGAAGGCAGGUUACUAAGCAACAACUGACGCUGAUGGACGAAAGCGUGGGGAGCGAACAGGAUUAGAUACCCUGGUAGUCCACGCCGUAAACGAUGCUAACUCGUUUUUGGGAUGUAAAUUUCAGAGACUAAGCGAAAGUGAUAAGUUAGCCACCUGGGGAGUACGAACGCAAGUUUGAAACUCAAAGGAAUUGACGGGGGCCCGCACAAGCGGUGGAUUAUGUGGUUUAAUUCGAUGAUACGCGAGGAACCUUACCAAGGCUUAAAUGGGAAAUGACAGGCUUAGAAAUAGGCUUUUCUUCGGACAUUUUUCAAGGUGCUGCAUGGUUGUCGUCAGCUCGUGCCGUGAGGUGUUAGGUUAAGUCCUGCAACGAGCGCAACCCCUGUCACUAGUUGCCAUCAUUAAGUUGGGGACUCUAGUGAGACUGCCUACGCAAGUAGAGAGGAAGGUGGGGAUGACGUCAAAUCAUCACGGCCCUUACGCCUUGGGCCACACACGUAAUACAAUGGCCGGUACAGAGGGCAGCUACACAGCGAUGUGAUGCAAAUCUCGAAAGCCGGUCUCAGUUCGGAUUGGAGUCUGCAACUCGACUCUAUGAAGCUGGAAUCGCUAGUAAUCGCGCAUCAGCCAUGGCGCGGUGAAUACGUUCCCGGGCCUUGUACACACCGCCCGUCAAGCCAUGGAAGUCUGGGGUACCUGAAGUCGGUGACCGUAACAGGAGCUGCCUAGGGUAAAACAGGUAACUAGGGCUAAGUCGUAACAAGGUAGCCGUACCGGAAGGUGCGGCUGGAACAUCUCAUUUUAGA